RNAcentral lists this long non-coding RNA (1494 nucleotides) under Monodelphis domestica (gray short-tailed opossum). Its description in RNAcentral is "lncRNA (ENSMODG00000032718.2)". Lineage: Eukaryota; Metazoa; Chordata; Mammalia; Didelphimorphia; Didelphidae. The record is from RNAcentral.
GGGUGUGGCUCCCCUGCUCUUUGAUGACUGGGCAUAGUCUUCAUUGGCAAUUGCUCCUUCCACUCUGCUAAAGCAUGGAAGGUGGAACUCCCUAAUUAGCUUAGGCCCUCUGCUCUUUAGUCAUAAAUAACCUCCACACUCAGCUACCAAAAAGGCAGGUAGAAGAUGGUCAAAACAAAAGUCUUUCCUGCCAUUAUUUCUGCAGGGAGAUUGCAGUAUUCUGUUUGAUAUUACUAUCUAACUUAGGGUUAGCCAUUCCCAAGAUCCUUUCUGGCUUAGCAUGCGAAUGAAUUUGAGCUAGAACAGAAGGUAAGGCAGCCCAGAACAGGAGAUAGAUAGAGGGAAUAGGAUGGAAUGUCAUCUUUCUUCAAACUCCCAAAAGUCAGGAAGAGUCCAGGUAGAAGACUUCCACAUGAUGAAAUGACUUCUCUCUGCCUUUUGUGAGCAGGAAGAGUCUUCUGAAAGCAAGAAAAGGACUGCUCCAGGACUUCUCCUUUGGACUUCUUUGGAGAACUGCUCCUUGGGACUUCUGGUUUGAAGAGAUUCCUGCCUUGGUGGCUCUGCAAGGAGACCCUCUCUGCUUGUUGGCAAACUGGUGGGAUACUUCCUUCAGCAUGAGUUCUAUGGAGAGAUUCUUGUCCUUUGAUCCUGCAUCAGCUUGCUGAUGAGAGACUCAGAUUUCCAGGUGGAGAUUGGAACUUUGUUGGGGAGCAAGCUGAAUCUCAUCGAAUCAGCACUUAGGGACAAGAGAAUACAAAAAGAGCCAUUGCAAAAUGCCAAAGAAGCACAAAGCUAAACUGCAUAGUGCCAAUCAAGCACAAGGUCAAAGAGACCAACCAAUUCAGAUGGAAUUGAUGAAAAUUUCAAGCCAAGACAAGAGGACUUGAACUUAUUUGGGGUUCAAGGUUGUGGUUGUUUAACAUAUGUUAAAGGCAGGUCUUCCUUGUCCCACAUUCUACCAAGUAUCUCAAAUUUGGUUCCUACCUGGCUCCUAUAAUCUAGUCCCUUUUCUGUCUUUCAUGGUGUGGCAAACUUUCUAUAGUCCUGGCUACUGAUUGGGUAAAUGCAUAAUUGCUUAAAUCACUUUAAUUGGGCCCUGAUUCAAGGACCUGUUAUAGAUUUAUUUUUCCUUUACUUAGAAUUUUUACACAUAAGUCUUUGAUAGUCUAUAUUUCAUCCAGAAAUUAUCUUUUUUAUUUGAAUUUUUUUGAUGUUUUUGAUUUCUCUUGCCAAUUGAUUCAUAUACUUCAUAACUCAGCCAUGCAUUCCUAAGUGAUCCCUGGGUUUUUCAACACCUUCUUCGGGGGGGGGGUGUAUUAUUAUAAUUAUUCUAAGUUGCAAAUUUUAAAUUCUUUUUGAGAGUAAUUUUAGGAUAAGAAAUAUGCUACCUCUCCAAAUCCAGAAAGUGAACUAUUUGGAGAAGGCACCAUUAAGAUGCCUGCACAGACCACACACUGCACCAGAAGAUCCAGAGUGAAUUUUGGGAUAUAGUGA